UCGCCGCGUUUUUCGGUCAAUUACGUUGAUAUCGUCUUUAACUUGACUUUUAUUUUCCUUCACGGCGGCUCCAGCGUUGUGUCUCCGGGAUGCUGAGCAGGCGGGCGGGGCUGCUUUUCCUCGCAGUCCCCUGCCGUGGAGUGAUGUAGCAAGACGUACGGGACAGAGCGGGCACAGAGGGGAGCAGACCGAACGUCGGAACGCUUGGUUUUUAAUUACCUCGUUUAAUUCUGUGUAUUUGACAGGCACAAUGGAGCUAUUUAAUAACCUAAUCUAACGUAAACAGUGUUGGAGCCAGCGUGCAGCCUGACACACGGACAUCUUGUUUGUCUCAUACCAGGACACAGGAGUGCAGAGAAAUCUUUUUUCCUCAUUUUGGACACGGUGCAGGUCGUACUGUAGUGGAGCUGUGUAAAGCUCAGGAUGGCGUGGCCCUGUAUCAGCAGGGCGUGCUGCAUGGCCCGCUUCUGGAACCAGCUGGACAAGGCUGACAUUGCGGUGCCUUUGGUGUUCACCAAGUACACGGACGUCUCUGAGAUGCAGCACAUCCAGCUGCAGCCGCCGCUCCACCCUCCCCAGGCCCGGGUCGCCAUAGAAACGCAGCCGUCUCGCGCAGAAUCCCGUUCCAGGACCGCUGCACGCGCGCCGCGAAGGUGCGUUUCCGAGGAGCGCGUGUGCAGCUCGGUGAUGCGCGAGGACUUUAAGCACUGGAAAGUUCGACCCGAACCUAGCUGUAAACCCAAGAACGAGUACCACGAACCGGAAACACCAUUCAACAGCGAGACCCAGUACCAAAAGGACUUCAAGCCCUGGCCCAUCCCGAAAAGGUACGACCAUCCCUGGAUACCCAAACCGCCCCCAAUCGACGACCGGGCUCCAGACAGGUCCAGGCACGCGAAACAGCACGUGGCGCUGGGGGAUGCGGACAGCGGUGUGGAGAAGAGCGCUAUUGCUGACAAGGUGCAGGAGAAAGACCUCCUCCACGGACAGGAGAGGAAAAAUAAGUCCAGUAAACAGGAGGGGGUGAAGAAGGUAGUCCUCAAGGUGGAAGGAGAGGGCAAAGGGAGGGCGGCGGCGGAUGCUGUGAACAGGCAGAUCAAAGAGGAGAUCACAGCCGGCACCUCGUACAAAACUGAGUACAAGGCUUACAGGGAUGUGAAGCCAGCAAAGAUGAUCCGGGCCAAGUCCCAGUACCUGCCGCCGGAUGGGAAGACCAGCCUGGAGACCAGCUACAGCGCCACCUUCAAGGGGCAAGCUCCUCUGAAGCCUGCUGACAACAAGGCACUCGAGAGGAGAAGGAUACGUAGUUUGUACAGCGAGCCUUACAUAGACCCCAGCAAACAGGUUGACAGGUAUAGCACCCCUCGCUCUAAACCCAAAAAGUCUGGAGCCACAGCAUCAGGCCAGGGCAAGCCAGUGAAGAAAGCCAAAGAUAAGCAAAGCGCCGUACUGAAGGGCUCCAAGAAGACGACCUCGGAGAACCAGCCCGAGAACCGGCCAGCGGUGGGGGACAAGGAGAAAAGUAAAGAGAUGAACAACAAACUGGCUGAGGCAAAAGAGUAAAAAUCAUUUAGCACUACUUCUCCUUUUAUUUCUUCUCUUUGGGGGAAAACAGACACAGAGGCUGCAAAAUUAUUUAAAGUUCUCUCAUCUUUAUUUUCUUCUUUCCUUCUUCCCCUGUGUUUCCCCCUCUAGUCUCUUACUCCUUCUCUUCUUUGUUCAGUCUCACUGUAUGCACUCAUUCUUCUUCUCUGUCCUCUAUUGCUACCUCUUUGUACAUUGAUAAUAAAAUAAGAUGUAGGGGUUUAGACAUGACAUAUCAAUGCUCCUCCCAUCUCACGCUAUGUUACAUCGCUAUAGUAACGAAUGGGUGGGAGCAUCCUCUUCCUCCGCCAUUUGAUGCCACCCACCACCCCCGACUCUGCUCGCCUCCAUCUCCAGGUUACCAUGGCUACUGGCUGCCUGGCUAGCCAAUGGAUGGCUCUUAUUGCAUGGGCCCACCAACAAGCAAAUCUGAAGGGUUGGCUUUGAUCAGCUGAGCAGAUUGCUUUGUUGAGUUUAUCAAGGAUUUUAUUUCUUUUUCUUUUUGUUUUUUUUGGGGGGUUUUUUUGGAGAAAAGAUAAUCAAAUUGGCACUUUGGAUCUGAUUUCUUUCUGCACUGUCAAAAUUAUCAACAAAUCUGAAAAUCUUUGAUAAAUGUUCCGCUCAAUUAGUCAUGAGUACCUGAUCCACGGCUUGUUUUGUACCUGCUCUGUCGUAUUUGCUGUUGUUCUCUGUUCGUGGUAGAGCUCACAGGACUCAGAGUCUGUGUUGGCUAAUAUCACGGUGCUCAACUGAAUGUGAUUUUUGUAAAGCAGUGUCUCUUUUCAAAACUGAACUCUGUCAUAGGCUGCAGAAUCAUUUUCAGUUCACCUAAACAUACAUACCCUGUUCUCCCAUUCAGUAUUUGCUCCGUGGAUGUGAAACCCAUCAUACAGUGCAGUUUUGUAACAUCCAAUUUGUUACCAACUUACCAUCUGGGUCACACUAACCUGAUUAUGCAUUAGCCAUCAGCCAUUUGCGUUGCAGAUGAGCAUUCCCUCUCAAUUAGAUAAUGCUGUUGUGCAGUUGAAAUGACAUGUAACAUUGGAGCAACAACAUUUCUCAGAAUCAGAGAGAGAGAGUCCAGUGGAGCUUGAGUGGUUCAGGUUGUAUCAUGUCUGCCACAUCAUGCAUGGCUGUCAAUCACAAUAGCCAUAACUCAGUGUAAUUACCUCAGAUGUUGUCUAUUAGACUUUGCCCUCUGCAAAACAUCACAGUAGAAGCCGCACUCAAACACCUCCUUUAAAAAUGGGUGUGAGGGUGCCCAUAACAAUGUGAUUAGACUGUCAUCAGAUGAUAGCACAGUUCAUAUUGCUGCUUAAUAGCAUUUUUUCCAUUACCUGUGAAGAGGGAACUGUGUGCAUGAAGCACAGAUUCAAGUUACAAAUAAAUCAUAAACAAUUCACUGCCAAUUUGUGAAAUAUGUCUGAGGUAAAUAAGUUAAAAUUUUUAAUACCAUCUUUAUUUUAACACACCACAAUAAGGGCACAGUGAUGUCAUAAGAAGUGUAACUGCUUCUGCUUUCUCCAUUGUUCAUCACUCUCUCUUUCUGAGUACAUGUUAUACAACUUGUUUUGCCCAGGCCAAAAGUUUGGAGGGUUUCAUGGUUUGAUGAGGUUGAAUAUAUUUGAAAAAUGUUGGUUCAGUGAUAGAUUUACUUUUGCUUUGUCUGGCAGGCUCAACAUGGUGGUAUGGAGGAAUUAUCUAGCAAAGCAAACCAAAACAAGCUGUAAAACCUCCUUUUUUAAAUUGUGGUUUAAUCUAGAUUUCCUCAGUGAGGUGUGAUGAAGAGAAAGGGAACAUGAACAACCAUCACCACUGCCACCACAUCUACCGAAGCAGAGCAUCAUCAGGGAUGAGGGCCCAGCUCAUUAGUAUUUUGCAGCCUUUGGUUAGGGGUCCCUUCGUUAUGUAACAGAAGGAGGGGGGCUUGUAGGGGCAGUAAAUGUAAACGGUGCUCAUCACACCACAUACACCUUGUACUAUCUCUGUGAUUAUUAGGCAAAUAAGAAUAGAAAGUAUGAAAGUAUGGUAAAGAAAGUUAUGUCUUGAGCAAAAAAAAAAAAAAAAAUGACUGUGACGUGCUUGUGUUUCUAUUUGCUUGCUCAUAUUUAAUGAAACGUUACAAAUAAAUGCAAAAAGCAGAAAAA
This is an RNA transcript of Scatophagus argus, 3731 nucleotides long. It is a transcript of the gene named microtubule-associated protein 6a, with no coding region annotated. Lineage: Eukaryota; Metazoa; Chordata; Actinopteri; Scatophagidae. The transcript is spliced from 4 exons. The record is from RefSeq and is a predicted model, not a curated record.